GUGCCUCGAAUGAUAGUGAACGUGGUCCAGAUACUGCCGAUGGAGACCCUGAGGGAAGUACAGAAACCCACACCAGGAUGUCUGCUCCAAAGGUACAGGAAAUUAAAUCAAGCUUUCAAAAUUGAGCAAAGAGAGAAAGUGGUGUCAUGGAUGAUGACUGCAGAUGAAAAAUGCUAGUCAUUCUUUAACUGUCUUUAAAUGUUGAUGUGUAAGUGCUACAGGAUCAUUUCUCUCCUAUCCAAUGCUCUGAUCUCUCCAGGUCAUUCUGCUCCUGUCUGAUAAAUCCAGCUGCGGGAUCUGCUGAUCUGAAGGAGCUGGUUGGAGUCAACCUGAAAAAAAAAGUGUGUUUGCUUUCACAGUUAUCGAUACAGUUAUAUAAUGAAUCUGUAAUUUGCUGAUAUGAUGCUGAAGGACAUAUCUUUUGUCUCAGAAAGCACUGGAGCAGCUCUUGUACACUGACCGCUUCUUUAAGAAUGACUUUGCUGUAGUUUUGCAGCCGUUCCUGAAACACGCAGAUCCUCCAAGACUCCCUGUGAGUAGUGACCACUGACUGUUUACUAAUUACUAUAAUUUAUAGCACUUUGCUGCUAGUUUUACAUUAAGGUUUAAAUACUAAAGUUUCCAUUAAAAUAGGAAUGUGCUGUUCAGAAUUUGUGCUUUAUAUUUUUCUCUGAUUAGAACGGGAAGAUUGACAUGAGCUUUUUUACUCCGGACUGUUUCCACUUCACCAUGAAAGGACAUGAGGAGUUAGCCAAGGGACUGUGGAACAACAUGUUUCAACUUGAGGGGGAAAAAUUCAUGGUGGAGAGCUUUUCAAACCCUAUUGAGCUCAUUUGCCCCCCUGUGAGUCAUCCGUACAUUUACACCAGACCCAGUGCUGUAAAAUCAGGCCCAUCACUUCCCGUAAUGCCCCAGUCAGCUGGCAUCAGACUAACUGUUCUCUACCUCAUCUUGGCUUUCCUUCCACUGUGGUUGGCUGUUAAUCUGGCCUCCUUGUAGGACAUCCAUAUGGAGUAUCGUGGUACAUCAUGUCUGCCCACCCGAUGUUCUACUUUGGCUGGAUAUCAUUGCUUUGAUGGUCUCUGAAGCACUGAGGAUCUAUUCUGUGACUUGAGCCACUGCAGGAUGCUCCAUGGUAAAACUGAUAAUGAGGGAGUAAAAGAUAAAUAAGUUAUCAAAGAUGAGCAGGAAAUUGGAGUUGGCAAAAUAUGAAGGCUUGGUUACAGUCAAUAUCAUAUUUAAUUGCUCUAUAGAGUUGCAGUGGAAAUGGGAAUAUUGAAACCUCAGAAUAGAAAAAUAUAUGCUAAUGUGAUGACCUUUUUUGAUAUACCCAACCAAAAUAGCACAAGAGCAGGUGCAAAGCCACUUUUAGCUCAGCGUAAUGUUGCUAUAAUAAAUUUAGGUAUGAAAGGUAACUGUGUAAGCUA
This is a long non-coding RNA of Cyprinus carpio (common carp), 1427 nucleotides long. The record is from Ensembl. NCBI's taxonomy places the organism in Eukaryota, Metazoa, Chordata, Actinopteri, Cypriniformes, Cyprinidae.